Megalobrama amblycephala (Wuchang bream) is the source of this 4080-nucleotide long non-coding RNA. RefSeq lists it as uncharacterized. The transcript has 3 exons. NCBI's taxonomy places the organism in Eukaryota, Metazoa, Chordata, Actinopteri, Cypriniformes, Xenocyprididae. The record is from RefSeq and is a predicted model, not a curated record.
UAACUGUUUUUUUUGUUUGUUUGUUUUUUUUUACUUAAAGCAAAUGCUACUUUUUUCCAUUUAUUUUCUUGUCAGAGUGCACUAAAAUGCUUCAUUUAUAUGUUUAAAUCAAAACUAUUUUAUCAGAUAGAUCAGAUAGAGUAAAAGAAUACAUAUUUGCCGUGCUGUCUGAGGAGAGGGCUCCAAGCUUGGUAUUUGGCCCGAACCCAGAGUACUCCCCCGAUAUCUUUGGAUAGUAACCAGGUGAAUGUGAGGAGACGGGGUGGUGGUGGGAUGCAGUAAAAUCUGUCUGAGUUCCCUGUCUACCUUUAUACGACCAAGCAGGUCGUCCCUGAGUUCCCUGUCUGCCUUGAUACAACCAAGGAGGUCAUCCCUGAAUUCCCUUUCUGCCUUGAUACGACCACGGAGGUCGUCAAUGAGUUCCCUGUCUGCCUUGAUACGACCAAGGAGGUCGUCCCUUAGUUCCCUGUCUGCCCUGAUACGACCACAGAGAUCAUCCCUGAGUCCCCUGUCAGCCCUGAUAUGACCACUAGAGUGGUUCAUGAGUUUUCUGUCUGCCUCGACAUGACCGUAGAGGUCGUUCCUGAACUGUUUGCCUGCCUCAAUACGAUCUGCCUGUCCUGUUACGGCCCUAGUGGCCACUCCUAACUUCUCUGUGCCUUAUGUUUCAGUUUUGCCUAGUCAGCUGUGUUGGCUUCUAGAUUCACCUGAUCCAUGGGGGUCUUCAGUUCCGUGUACACGGCAGUGGUGGUCAUCUGCUCCGCCGUGGGUGUCUUCAAGCCCAUCUGCACUGCUGUCGGGGUCGUCUGCUCCGCCGUGGAUGCCUUCAAGCCGGUCUGCGCUCCUGUGGUGGCAGCCUGCCCCUCACUGGGCCCUUACUAAACCUUUUUCACCCUGGCUGUCUGCUAUGCCUUCAGUUAAAGUUCUGCUUCCUAUUUCUGAGCACUCUGCUGGUAUUGUUUUCUUGUUUUUGGUGGACUGUUUCUUGGAUUUUGACCCUUUGCCUGGCAUAUGAUUUUGAUUCUGGAUAUCCCUAAAUAAAGCUGCUUUUGGAUCUUACCCCAAGUCUCAGAGCACCGUGACACAUAUGCUUUAACUUUUAGUUAAAGUUCUGAGAGAUAUGUUGAUAAAUCGCAGGACAACAAUGACGAUGAUUCUGUGUGCGACUGUGCGUGCGAGCUGAGCGUGGUGUGCCAGCUACAAGGAGCAGCAUGUUAGUUUUAGAACGGCAAAUCACUUAUACAGAAAAACUGUUCAAAAUGUGUAUUCCCCCAAUCAAAUUGAGUGUUAAGAUGACAUAAACAGUGCUUGUGGUUUAGCAACUGGAUUUGAGCUGUGCUCUUAUGGGUUUGAGCCAAUGGGGGAGCAAGGGCUGGCCAGGACUGAAUCUACGGCGCGGCUUGCUGGUGCUCGACGGGCCUUAUAGUCCAUUUCUUUAUGGCAGGAAUGAUUGAGCGAGCUGAAUGAAGAAAGAUGCGGGGGAGGAUUGCAGAAAUUUCACCUAAGCUUGCUGGGACCCGUUUGUUUUUGGGCUGAUGCUUGCGAGAUAACGUUGUGGGAUUAGAUAGAUAGAUAGAUAGAUAGAUAGAUAGAUAGAUAGAUAGAUAGAUAACUUUUAUUGUCCCUUAACGGGAAAUUUGUUUUCACAGACUGUCAUACAGUACACGUAACUGGCAUACAAAAAAAAAAAAAAAUUAGAUGCGGAUGGUGGAGGAGAAUCACUCCAUAGGCCAUAGGAUAGGGGCAAAGAUUCCUCGAGGAUGAAAGAUUCUUCAUCGGUCGAGAAGAGCUUGAUUUCUGACAUGUUGGGAAUGAAGGGCGGGGCCAAAUGCUUCAGAAUUCAAUUCCCAUCGUUUUUGUGUCAUGACCAUAACGCUGGAGAAGCGUGCCCAGUCCCAAAGGAGGAGAAUGCUAUAGAGACCACACACUGCCUGAAGAGAGGUAAUGUGUGGAGGUACACAUAUAGACUGACCCAAGGGACAGUGCUACAUAUGGAAGAUCUCUGCAGUAGGUCCUACCUAGCCAGGGAGGAGCUACUACUGGCACAGAGACAGGGCAGGUAAAGACACAGGUUUACCGUCAGGGAAACCGAAUCAUGGACAAUACACAUAUGGGAUUAUUGAGUGAGGAAUCGCAUCAUAUUCAAGCGCUGAUCAGCCUGGUAUGCACACGAUGUAUACUGGGCCUGGCGUCAGAUGCAUCCACCGCGUCUGACUGCCGAAGGAUCCUGGAGGAACUCAAUUCAGAGUUCACCAAGUUGAGAACACACCUGAAGAGCAAGUAGGUGCUUGUAUCCCCCUGUUAAAAUGGAAUAACGCUGCAAGUGAGACACCAUGCCAGAGAUUCCGCACAUUACCUGUUUGAAUCCCAACACAAGGGAAGAAACCAGCUCCACUUGAAGAUAAUAGAAUUUUGCGAAUGUGUUAGGUGUCGUCCAGCCCGCAGCUCAGCAGAUGUUUGCCAGAGAGGCGCCAUGUGCCAACACGCAGGAGGAGGCAACACCCCGAGUGCAUCCGUACUGAGGGUCACGUCGGUCAGGGAAUAGAACAACAGCGCAUCGGCAAGCACAGACCAUCUUGACAGUUGAUGUACGCUACGAUGUGUUGUCCAUCCAGGCCAGUACAUGCUUGCCGUGCAGCUACGGUCGGAAUCGGAGCAGUGCAAGGAGUACUGCUAGCAACUCAAGGCACUUAAUAUGCCACUGCAGUUGAGGUCCUGUCCAGUAGCCCAAGGGAGCAUGCUAGUUGCAUAUGGCACCCCAGCCAAUGGUGGAGGCAUCUGUUGUGACAACAAUAUGCCUGGGCACUUGUUCUAAGGGGGAAACCGGCCCAUAGAAAGGCAAGGUCUGACCAAGGGCUGAAAGUUUGGCGAUAGCUCGGUGUGAUGGCCACUUGAAGCAUGCCAUGGUGCCAUGCCCAUCUUGGGACUCAGCUAUGUAGCCAUUGCUGAAGCAACCUCAUAUGCAUCAGUCCGAGUGGCAUGACCAUGGCAGCAGAUGCCAUAUGCCCAAGAAGCCUCUGAAAUUGCUUCAGUGGAACCGCUGUCUUCUGCCUGAUCGUAUUCAGGCAAUUCAGCACCAACUGAGCAGAAUCCUCAAAAUGUGGACUCUUGAAAGAGGGUAUGGCUGAGAGUGAGGAAGUGGAGCAUUGCUCACUGUCAGAACAGACCCAGUAUGGCCCAGAGGUUUUUGGAAUCUGCUCUUUUAUUGAGAAUGUGACAGAACAGAACUGCUAGGCAAAGUCCUCAACAGUGUCGCUGAAGAGGCCAGCCUGGGAGAUGGGGGCGUCGAGAAAGCGAGAGGACUUGUGCCUCAGUAUUAAAGAAGGAGAGUCACGACCACAAUGCAAACAUGGACAUGCUCUCACAGUAAGAGCAUAUAGCAUCCACGAAUGCUCUCUCAGCAUGCUGUCUGCCCAACAUGUGAGACAGCGAUCGUGGCUGUUAGAUGAAGUCAGUAAACAACCGCAUCCAGAAUCACACGAGCGAAAACAUAUUGAAAAAGAUGCUGAUCGACCAUGCUUGCUCUUUUAAGGAAACUGCUCUGAACGGCGAAUCACCGAGGUGUGAAGCACUGCACUUUCCGUGCACAGCAAGCUGGAUUGCGCAACACUGCUGGAUGCGCCGUCACACCAGCGGAGAGAUCCCUCAACGAGCUGCAAGCAAAACGAAGCAAUUAAAAUAGCUGUUUUCGGAGAUGUACUCCUGUUUAGCAAUAAAAAUUGCUGUUGGCUCAGAAGUGUUCUCUUUUUUGUUGAAGGUGAAUGGAAUGAGCGAUCGCUUUCACAACCACUUGGCUCCGAAGCAAAUUAUGAAUGAACACAAACUACAAUCUAAUCAAAUAAUCAUGGCUAUAACCAAGUCUCAGCAUCAAACGGCACACCCACAGACGUCCACAGUCUGUUCACUGAGCCACGUGAUGCUCGUUGCACACAAAAAUGUGCUGUUCCUCAAACUCCAGCAGAGUCUGUACAGCUGCACAACAACAAGGGGCCACAGAAUGAGGGGCCGUGACGGAGAAGUUGCUUUUUUAUAGAUAUAAAAAUCUAUCUAUCUAUCUAUCUAUCUAUCUAUCUAUCUAUC